Molecule: ribosomal RNA, 310 nt
Filed under: uncultured bacterium
Lineage: Bacteria
Description: bacterial SSU rRNA
Rfam family: Bacterial small subunit ribosomal RNA
Source: RNAcentral
AGCGAACGCUGGCGGUAUGCUUAACACAUGCAAGUCGAGCGCGAAAGUGACUUCGGUCAUGAGUAGAGCGGCGGACGGGUGAGUAACACGUGGAUAAUCUGCCUUUAGGACUGGGAUAACCCUGGGAAACUAGGGCUAAUACCGGAUAAGACCACAGGUUCCAUGGAACCAGGGGUAAAAGGCGGCCUUCGGGCUGUCGCCGAAAGAUGAGUCCGCGUCCCAUCAGGUAGUUGGUGAGGAACGGCUCACCAAGCCGAAGACGGGUAGCCGACCUUAGCGGGUGAUCGGCCACACGGGGACUGAGACACGG